GUGCUGGCUAUGGCAACAGCACACAUACUGAAAUCAGAACUAUACAGAGAUUACUUACUAUGGCCCUGAGGAAUGAAUGACUUGCAAGUUAGUGAAGCAUGUCAUAUUGAA
This 111-nucleotide small nuclear RNA is filed under the name Erinaceus europaeus (western European hedgehog). The record is from RNAcentral. Lineage: Eukaryota; Metazoa; Chordata; Mammalia; Eulipotyphla; Erinaceidae.